Molecule: ribosomal RNA, 378 nt
Filed under: uncultured eukaryote
Lineage: Eukaryota
Description: partial 18S ribosomal RNA
Rfam family: Eukaryotic small subunit ribosomal RNA
Source: RNAcentral
CAAUAGCGUAUAUUUAAGUUGUUGCAGUUAAAAAGCUCGUCGUUGGAUUUCGGGUGGGACGCAGCGGUCUCGCAUUGCGUUUGUACUGCUGCAGCCCUCCUUCUUGCCGGGGGCGGCCUCUCGGACUUCACUGUCUGGGGGUCAGAAUCGGCGAUGUUACUUUGAGUAAAUUAGAGUGUUCAAAGCAAGCUUACGCUCUGAAUAUAAUAGCAUGGGAUAACACGACAGGACUCUGGCCUAUCGUGUUGGUCUAUAGGACCAGAGUAAUGAUUAAGAGGGACAGUCGGGGGCAUUCGUAUUCCGUUGUCAGAGGUGAAAUUCUUGGAUUUACGGAAGACGAACAUCUGCGAAAGCAUUUGCCAAGGAUGUUUUCAUUGA